GUCGGAGUGGCGGAAUUUGGUAGACGCGCAUGGUUGAGGGCCAUGUGCCCGUUACGGGCGUGGGGGUUCAAGUCCCCCCUCCGACA
Molecule: transfer RNA, 86 nt
Filed under: bacterium
Lineage: Bacteria
Description: tRNA-Leu
Rfam family: tRNA
About the family: Transfer RNA (tRNA) molecules are approximately 80 nucleotides in length. Their secondary structure includes four short double-helical elements and three loops (D, anti-codon, and T loops).
Source: RNAcentral